CCUACGGGCGGCUGCAGUGGGGAAUAUUGCACAAUGGGCGCAAGCCUGAUGCAGCCAUGCCGCGUGUGUGAAGAAGGCCUUCGGGUUGUAAAGCACUUUCAGCGGGGAGGAAGGCGGUGAGGUUAAUAACCUCAUCGAUUGACGUUACCCGCAGAAGAAGCACCGGCUAACUCCGUGCCAACAGCCGCGGUAAUACGGAGGGUGCAAGCGUUAAUCGGAAUUACUGGGCGUAAAGCGCACGCAGGCGGUCUGUCAAGUCGGAUGUGAAAUCCCCGGGCUCAACCUGGGAACUGCAUUCGAAACUGGCAGGCUAGAGUCUUGUAGAGGGGGGUAGAAUUCCAGGUGUAGCGGUGAAAUGCGUAGAGAUCUGGAGGAAUACCGGUGGCGAAGGCGGCCCCCUGGACAAAGACUGACGCUCAGGUGCGAAAGCGUGGGGAGCAAACAGGAUUAAUACCCUGGUAGUC
This 464-nucleotide ribosomal RNA is filed under the name uncultured Klebsiella sp. RNAcentral describes it as "bacterial SSU rRNA". It matches the Rfam family "Bacterial small subunit ribosomal RNA", at positions 338 to 795 of the family's 1533-position model. The record is from RNAcentral. Lineage: Bacteria; Pseudomonadati; Pseudomonadota; Gammaproteobacteria; Enterobacterales; Enterobacteriaceae.